AUGCAGGACCCUAAUCCGCCAUAUUGGUGCAAAUUUAAAGGCCGUCAGAAAAUUUCCGGCUUAAAGAGAAGGAUUCUGAUUCAAAAUCCGGUUCAAGGUAAACCUGUCUCCCACAAAGCUUUGAAGCUCUCAAUAUCCGGUUCGAAAUUCCGGUUAAAAAGAAUUCAUCUCUCGCAAGUUCGAGUUCUCAGAAAAAAUUACAGGGACCAAAGAGAGUUUGUUGCACAGCACAACUCAAACAUAGGCACCCGGCGAGCACAGCUCAGAAAUAUAUCACUUGGGGGCUUCCGGCUUAUCGAGCUAAGCUAUGAUUACCCUUUGAUCCGGCUUAUACUCCAUGUUUACAAAAACACUUGGGGGCUUACUACCCAGGUUAAAGGGACCAAAGAGAGUCUGUUGCAAAAGCACGACUCAAACAUAGGCGCCCAUUGA
RNAcentral lists this ribosomal RNA (432 nucleotides) under Triticum aestivum (bread wheat). Its description in RNAcentral is "partial small subunit ribosomal RNA". The record is from RNAcentral. Lineage: Eukaryota; Viridiplantae; Streptophyta; Magnoliopsida; Poales; Poaceae.